UACAUAUAAAAUUCAAGCUUAUUAUUUUAAUUAAAGUCUGGCUUUAUGCUUGGCAGUCCUGUAAGCUACUGAAUUAAACAAGAAAAAUAUUAUUAGGCUUUGGUCUCGUGAGUGACUAGUUGAAUUAUUGUUGACUUGGAAAGUUUGACUGCUGUAAAGUUAGCCGCGUAAGUAUAGUAACUCAAAGACGUGGGAACAAAGCACAGUAACUGAGUAAAAUCUUGAACAUUUCAACAUAUUUUGCAGAUGACGUGCAAUAAAAAGUCUUGAAGAGACUCUGGAAUAAACAUGAUGGCCAUUAACGGAGGACCUUCUUCACAGUGAGUAAGGUCCUGAUUUGCCGGAAUUAUCGGGGAGAUGUGGAGAUGUCAGAAAUUGAACACUUCAUGUCUAUUCUGAUGGAGAAAGAGGAAGAGUGCUCCCUCACGCCAAUCCUGUCACAUGGAGUGGUUCGAUUCAUGUGGAUCAAACACAACAAUU
Rhincodon typus (whale shark) is the source of this 480-nucleotide long non-coding RNA. RefSeq lists it as uncharacterized. The transcript has 3 exons. The record is from RefSeq and is a predicted model, not a curated record. Lineage: Eukaryota; Metazoa; Chordata; Chondrichthyes; Orectolobiformes; Rhincodontidae.